RNAcentral lists this long non-coding RNA (704 nucleotides) under Lathyrus oleraceus (garden pea). RNAcentral describes it as "Pisum sativum (pea) long non-coding RNA (PSAT_LNC009499)". Lineage: Eukaryota; Viridiplantae; Streptophyta; Magnoliopsida; Fabales; Fabaceae. The record is from RNAcentral.
AGCCCAAGAGUAAGCUAUGUGAGGUUGGCGGCGAUGCUUAAAAAAGCAAUCGACUUACAAGGGUUUGAAAAAGGACUCGAUAUUAAAUCGAGAAAAAUAUGAUUUUUAUAAUUUCAAAAUGGUUUUGAAUGUAUGAUGAAAUUAAUAAAGAAGCAUGGACAUAAAAAAGAUAUUACAAGAAACAAAAACUAAAAGACAAUAAAAUAAUAAAAGAUAAAAGCUAAAAGAAAAUGAGAUAUUAAAAAAUACUAAAGAAAAAAUGAAAUACUAAAAAAACUAAAAAAUGCUACGUAUGAGUAUUGAACUCACUCCACCUAAGACUUAAAUACCACUCCUCUCCACCAAGCCACUUAACGACUAACUGUUAUUUAGUACUAAUUUUAAAUACAUAAACUAAAGGUAAAUUAAAAAAGAUUAAAAUAAAAACUUAAUAGAAAAAGAACCGUUAGUCUAUUGGCAAUAAAGCCCAGCCGCCUGGCUGUUGGACUUACCAAGGGGAAUAGAUUGGAAACCUAAAACAAUUAUUAACUAACUAAUUAAAAGAAUCUUUUUUCAUAAUGUUUUUCUCUUUAAAACUAAUUAUUCUAUUAAUACUAAAAAAAUAAAAAAAAAGAGCAACAAGAAAUGGAAUCGUCUCUUUCAAUCCCUCUUCUCUCGUGUCUUUCUCAGAAUCGCUCUCUCUCAGAAAACCCAAUCGCUCACUC